CAGCCCCGCGGUAAUACAGAGGGUGCGAGCGUUAAUCGGAUUUACUGGGCGUAAAGCGUGCGUAGGCGGCUUCUUAAGUCGGAUGUGAAAUCCCUGAGCUUAACUUAGGAAUUGCAUUCGAUACUGGGAAGCUAGAGUAUGGGAGAGGAUGGUAGAAUUCCAGGUGUAGCGGUGAAAUGCGUAGAGAUCUGGAGGAAUACCGAUGGCGAAGGCAGCCAUCUGGCCUAAUACUGACGCUGAGGUACGAAAGCAUGGGGAGCAAACAGGAUUAGAUACCCCGGUAGUCCCUGUCUCUUAUACA
RNAcentral lists this ribosomal RNA (301 nucleotides) under uncultured bacterium. Its description in RNAcentral is "partial 16S ribosomal RNA". It matches the Rfam family "Bacterial small subunit ribosomal RNA", at positions 509 to 808 of the family's 1533-position model. The record is from RNAcentral.